RNAcentral lists this ribosomal RNA (440 nucleotides) under uncultured bacterium. RNAcentral's name for it is "partial 16S ribosomal RNA". It matches the Rfam family "Bacterial small subunit ribosomal RNA", at positions 338 to 795 of the family's 1533-position model. The record is from RNAcentral.
CCUACGGGAGGCAGCAGUGGGGAAUAUUGCUCAAUGGGCGAAACCCUGAUGCAGCGACGCCGCGUGAGGGAAGAAGUAUUUCGGUAUGUAAAACUCUAUCAGCAGGGAAGAAAAUGACGGUACCUGAUUCAGAAGCCCCGGCAAACUACGUGCCAGCAGCCGCGGUAAUACGUCGGGGGCAAGCGUUAUCCGGAUUUACUGGGUGUAAAGCGAGCGUAGACGGCAGGACAAGUCUGGAGGGAAAUGCCUGGGCUUAACCCCGGAACUGCUUUGGAAACUGUGCAGCUGGAGUGCAGGAGAGGUAAGUGGAAUUCGGAGGGUAGCGGUGAAAUGCGUAGAUAUUAGGAGGAACACCGGUGGCGAAGGCGGCUUACUGGACUGUAACUGACGUUGAGGCUCGAAAGCGUGGGGAGCAAACAGGAUUAGAUACCCUAGUAGUC